GGCGAACGGGAGAGGAAGGGCGUCGGAACGUGCCGAGUAGUGGGGGAUAACGCAUUUGAAAGGUGUGCUAAUACCGCAUACGUACUGAGGUAGAAAGUGGGGGACCUUCGGGCCUCACGCUAUUCGAGCGGCCGACGUCUGAUUAGCUAGUUGGUGAGGUAAAGGCUCACCAAGGCGGCGAUCAGUAGCGGGUCUGAGAGGAUGAUCCGCCACACUGGGACUGAGACACGGCCCAGACUCCUACGGGAGGCAGCAGUGGGGAAUUUUGGACAAUGGGCGCAAGCCUGAUCCAGCCAUGCCGCGUGUCUGAAGAAGGCCUUCGGGUUGUAAAGGACUUUUGUCCGGGAGCAAAUGCCUGGUGUUAAUAGCACUGGGAGCUGAGAGUACCGGAAGAAAAAGCACCGGCUAACUACGUGCCAGCAGCCGCGGUAAUACGUAGGGUGCAAGCGUUAAUCGGAAUUACUGGGCGUAAAGCGUGCGCAGGCGGUUUUGUAAGCCAGAUGUGAAAGCCCCGGGCUCAACCUGGGAACUGCGUUUGGAACUACAAGACUAGAGUGUGUCAGAGGGGGGUGGAAUUCCCGCGUGUAGCAGUGUAAUGCGUAUAGAUGCGGAGGAACACCGAUGGCGAAGGCAGCC
This 636-nucleotide ribosomal RNA is filed under the name uncultured bacterium. RNAcentral describes it as "bacterial SSU rRNA". It matches the Rfam family "Bacterial small subunit ribosomal RNA", at positions 97 to 726 of the family's 1533-position model. The record is from RNAcentral.